UUAUUCUGCUCUAUUUAUUCGCGUCUUCUCCAAAUCAUUCUGCUCAUUUUUCAGUCUGCAACUCUUCAGAAUUUCGUUCCAAUCCUUCAUCAACAAGUGGGUGCAUCUAACAAUUUUGGAAUCAUCCAGUUUUCCAUCUCCAUUUUAGAUGGCUCGUCGCGGCAAGGGAGCUAAUCAUGUAUGGACUAUUGAAGAAGAUGCGAAACUUGUAGAAACAAUUGUUGAGUUGAAGAGAAGUAGGAAUUGAGAUGGUGAAAGUGGAAGUGGGUUAAAAAAAGGUUAUCAAAAGGAGUUGGAGAAGAUAUUGCAAGAAAAAAUGCCAGGCCAUGGUCUUAAAGAAAAACCACAUAUUGAAUCUCGGUGUAAGUUAUUGAAAAAACAUGCUGGGGUUU
This is a non-coding RNA of Salvia hispanica, 392 nucleotides long. The record is from RefSeq and is a predicted model, not a curated record. Lineage: Eukaryota; Viridiplantae; Streptophyta; Magnoliopsida; Lamiales; Lamiaceae.